This 468-nucleotide ribosomal RNA is filed under the name Megalohelcon sp. Its description in RNAcentral is "partial 16S ribosomal RNA". Lineage: Eukaryota; Metazoa; Arthropoda; Insecta; Hymenoptera; Trachypetidae. The record is from RNAcentral.
CUGCUCAAUGAAACUUUUAAAUAGCUGCAGUAUCCUAACUGUACAAAGGUAGCAUAAUAACUUGAUUUCUAAUUAGAAAUCUUGAAUGAACGAUUAGAUGAAAUAUACUCUGUCUCAAUAAAAUUAACAAUUAAACUUAAAUUUUAAGUAAAAAUUCUUAAAUAAAAUUAAAAGACGAGAAGACCCUAUAAAAUUUUAUAAAUUUAUUAUUAUUAUCAGAUUAAUAAAUCUUUUAUUAAUUUUAAAUUUAUUUAAUUGGGGCAAUUUAAAAAUUAAAAAAACUUUUUUUAUUUAUCACAUUUAUUUAUGAUUAAAUAAUCCUAAAUUUUAGAUUAAAAAAAUAAAUUACUUUAGGGAUAACAGCGUAAUUUAAUUUCAAAACUCUUAUUUCAAAUAAAGAUUACGACCUCGAUGUUGAAUUAAGAUUAAUUAAGUUGCAAAAAAUUUAAAAUUUAAGUCUGUUCGACU